This 422-nucleotide ribosomal RNA is filed under the name uncultured archaeon. RNAcentral's name for it is "partial 16S ribosomal RNA". It matches the Rfam family "Archaeal small subunit ribosomal RNA", at positions 323 to 746 of the family's 1478-position model. The record is from RNAcentral.
CUACGGGAGGCUGCAGGCGAGAAAACUUUGCAAUGUGCGAAAGCACGACAAGGUUAAUCCGAGUGGUUUCUGCUAAAGGAACCUUUUGUCGGUCCUAGAAACACCGAUGAAUAAGGGGUGGGCAAGUUCUGGUGUCAGCCGCCGCGGUAAAACCAGCACCUCAAGUGGUCAGGAUGAUUAUUGGGCCUAAAGCAUCCGUAGCCGGCUCUGUAAGUUUUCGGUUAAAUCUGUACGCUUAACGUACAGGCUGCCGGGAAUACUGCAUAGCUAGGGAGUGGGAGAGGUAGACGGUACUCGGUAGGAAGGGGUAAAAUCCUUUGACCUAUUGAUGACCACCUGUGGCGAAGGCGGUCUACCAGAACACGUCCGACGGUGAGAGAUGAAAGCUGGGGGAGCAAACCGGAUUAGAUACCCCAGUAGUC